RNAcentral lists this microRNA precursor (100 nucleotides) under Camelus ferus (Wild Bactrian camel). Its description in RNAcentral is "mir-658 microRNA precursor family". It matches the Rfam family "mir-658 microRNA precursor family". The record is from Rfam by way of RNAcentral. Lineage: Eukaryota; Metazoa; Chordata; Mammalia; Artiodactyla; Camelidae.
GCUCGGUUGCUGUGGUUGCAGGCCCUGCCCGCCUGCGCGCCCGCUGACAGGGAGGCUUAGGGCGGAGGGAAGCUGGUCCGUUGGUCUGUCGGGAACGAGG